UAAUUUUUAAUUUAAUUUAAAAUAUUUCAUUUACAUUGAAAAAAUAAUUUUUUAAUUAAAAUUAA
Molecule: transfer RNA, 65 nt
Filed under: Leptopilina syphax
Lineage: Eukaryota; Metazoa; Arthropoda; Insecta; Hymenoptera; Figitidae
Description: tRNA-Val
Source: RNAcentral